CUCACAUAAAGUGUGAG
This 17-nucleotide ribosomal RNA is filed under the name Ochlerotatus hexodontus. Its description in RNAcentral is "partial 28S ribosomal RNA". Lineage: Eukaryota; Metazoa; Arthropoda; Insecta; Diptera; Culicidae. The record is from RNAcentral.